This 415-nucleotide long non-coding RNA is filed under the name Solanum lycopersicum (tomato). RNAcentral describes it as "long non-coding RNA (SLYC_LNC000312)". Lineage: Eukaryota; Viridiplantae; Streptophyta; Magnoliopsida; Solanales; Solanaceae. The record is from RNAcentral.
AGAGGUUUAGCUGCUGGUCUGACGGAUUGUUGUUUGCCUUUUGAAAUCACGUAUACAGUACAAUAGUCGGGUGCAGCCUUGUUUACGAUAGUUGGAACAUCAUGAGUCCAAAAUUUUCUGCAAAAAAAGUACAACAUUAUCCACAAUUCAAAGGGACAGUGUGUGUAUAUAUACAUAUAUACAUAUACAUAUAUACAUAUACAUAUAUAUAUAUAUAUAUAUAUAUAUAUAUAUAUAUAUAUAUAUAUAUCUAUAUAUCUAUAAUGAAUGAGCAAGGGGAUAUAAAAACAUCAACCUGGAAAAAGCACUUCUUGAUGAUGCACCAACAACGACGUUGGUGAUAUGAUAGUUGUUUAUAUAGUCUAGAAGUCCCUUAGACACUGAGAUAUCCUCAACAAUAACCUCUUUCACUGCU